GUUUUUGCAUUAGACUCUCCAUGGGCUCCAUAGACUCUCCUGUACCUUACGACUGGGCACAGGAGGGUUUCCCCGGUGAAAUGGAGAAGAGGACACACUUGGUCUUUUCAACUUUACUAGGAGGGCUCCUUUCUUCCCAGUCCAAACAUAUGAAGCUCAUUUCUGCCACCCUUCCUAGAAAACUGGUUGCUGACAGAGACAUGUGGAAAGGUAAGUAAACCUGGGCCCAAGAUCACAGAGCACACAGCUGGAAUUCACAGCAAGACCUGCUUGACUUCGAAGUCAGUGGUCUUUCCCCUGCUUCCCACGAGACAGGUAAUCCCUCAGCUUACUCUUGAAGAGGCAAUGUGGGCUACUGCAUUUGAAUGUCUGAAUUCAAGCCUUGUAGAAACAACUAGCAGUAACCAAACACCAUUAUUUUUGUUUGUUCAUUUGUUUCCAAAUGACUUGUGACUUUUCUAAUGGAGAAAACAUUCAACCCAAAUCUUAAUUCCACCAACAAUGAGUGUGUGCCUUGGACAAUUCACAGCCUGUCUGAGCUAGUUUAUUUUAGAGUAAGCAAGUUGGAGUAGGUGACCUCUGUGUUCUUUGUAAUUUGAGACGUUUUGGUGUUCACACAGGUUACUACAUGAGGAGCUGGGACUGGAAUACAGGUUUUCUGUGUUCACCUGGGGAUGGCUUUUCCAUCAUCCCUCCUGAGUCUGUGAGGUAUCCCAGUUU
RNAcentral lists this long non-coding RNA (720 nucleotides) under Pan troglodytes (chimpanzee). RNAcentral describes it as "long non-coding RNA NONPTRT015165". Lineage: Eukaryota; Metazoa; Chordata; Mammalia; Primates; Hominidae. The record is from RNAcentral.